Gordionus sp. m RMFG-2023 is the source of this 698-nucleotide long non-coding RNA. RefSeq lists it as uncharacterized. The transcript is spliced from 3 exons. Lineage: Eukaryota; Metazoa; Nematomorpha; Gordioida; Chordodea; Parachordodidae. The record is from RefSeq and is a predicted model, not a curated record.
UGUAGAGGGCUCCUCAUAUUUUUUUAAACUUUCACCCCAAUUAACUUAUGUUCCAAUUAGAUGGAAAUGACAAAUGAGGAAUACCUAGCGUAGCUCUGUUGUUUAUUCAACGUCAGAGGGCAUAUGCGCUAUAUAUCACGGAUCACGGAAAAUAUGAAAUUUGAUUUUGUCGAAGAAAAUCAACCCUUAUCAGAUGUAGAGUUUAAAAUAGAAGAGAAGUCUUUAUGUGCUCAUAAGAUAGUAUUAACAAUGAAGAGUGAUGUUUUUAAAAAUAUGUUUUGUGGCAGUAUUCCAUUUAAAGAUGAACCAGUUUUAAUCAAAGAUAUUGAAUAUAAAGUGUUUAAAGCUAUGUUAAAAUUCUUCCAUAUGGGUAAUUCCAUGACAAAUUGACCAGUGAUUUGGCCGACCAUCUCAAAAAUGAAUGAAACUUGGCAUGUUAGUUAUGUAUGUUGUACAUGUUAAUAAAAUCAAAAUUUUAGAGUGCUAGCUCAACCAGAUCCAAAGAUAUACGCCUUUAAAUCGAAAAUCGCGAAGUGCAUGAUUUCAUUAAAUCUUGUUAUUUUAAAAAAUACUUAAGAUAGAGUUACAAAUUAUAUAUCAUUUUAUAACCCAUAAAAUUUUACGUUGGUAUAUAUAAAAAAAUUAAAAUAUUUCAAGUGUUUUCUUAUUUCCGGUAAAAAUAAAAAAUUAACAUUGUU